UACGGGGGGGGCAAGCGUUGUUCGGAAUUACUGGGCGUAAAGGGCGCGUAGGCGGCCUUCUAAGUCGGACGUGAAAUCCCCAGGCUCAACCUGGGAACUGCGUCCGAUACUGGAUGGCUUGAAUCCGGGAGAGGGAUGCAGAAUUCCAGGUGUAGCGGUGAAAUGCGUAGAUAUCUGGAGGAAUACCGGUGGCGAAGGCGGCAUCCUGGACCGGCAUUGACGCUGAGGAGCGAAAGCCAGGGGAGCAAACGGG
RNAcentral lists this ribosomal RNA (253 nucleotides) under uncultured bacterium. RNAcentral describes it as "partial 16S ribosomal RNA". It matches the Rfam family "Bacterial small subunit ribosomal RNA", at positions 524 to 776 of the family's 1533-position model. The record is from RNAcentral.